AACGAACGCUGGCGGCGUGCCUAACACAUGCAAGUCGUGCGAGAAAGUUCCUUCGGGAGCGAGUAAAGCGGCGCACGGGUGAGUAACACGUAGGUAACCUGCCCCCCAGUCUGGAACAACUAGAGGAAACUCUAGCUAAUGCCGGAUGAGACCACGAUCCCUUCGGGGGUUGCGGCCAAAGAUGGCCUCUACUUGUAAGCUAUCGCUGAGGGAUGGGCCUGCGGGCCAUUAGCUUGUUGGUGAGGUAACGGCUCACCAAGGCUGUGAUGGCUAGCUGGUCUGAGAGGAUGACCAGCCACACUGGGACUGAGACACGGCCCAGACUCCUACGGGAGGCAGCAGUGGGGAAUAUUGCGCAAUGGGCGAAGCCUGACGCAGCGACGCCGCGUGGGUGAUGAAGGCCU
RNAcentral lists this ribosomal RNA (404 nucleotides) under uncultured bacterium. Its description in RNAcentral is "bacterial SSU rRNA". It matches the Rfam family "Bacterial small subunit ribosomal RNA", at positions 29 to 417 of the family's 1533-position model. The record is from RNAcentral.